AAUAAAGUGCCUGAAGAAAAGGAUUAUUCUGAUAGGAUAAAUUAUAUAGUUAAUACUAUCUUUAUUA
RNAcentral lists this transfer RNA (67 nucleotides) under Chilo suppressalis (striped riceborer). Its description in RNAcentral is "tRNA-Ile". The record is from RNAcentral. Lineage: Eukaryota; Metazoa; Arthropoda; Insecta; Lepidoptera; Crambidae.